RNAcentral lists this ribosomal RNA (490 nucleotides) under uncultured bacterium. RNAcentral's name for it is "partial 16S ribosomal RNA". It matches the Rfam family "Bacterial small subunit ribosomal RNA", at positions 28 to 507 of the family's 1533-position model. The record is from RNAcentral.
GAUGAACGCUCGCGAUAGGCUUAACACAUGCAAGUCGAGGGGCAGCAUGGUCUUAGCUUGCUAAGACUGAUGGCGACCGGCGCACGGGUGCGUAACGCGUAUGCAACUUGCCUCACAGAGGGGGAUAACCCGUCGAAAGACGGACUAAUACCGCGUACACUUGGGAUAGGGCAUCCUGACCCAAGGAAAUGAAAUUCGCUGUGAGAUAGGCAUGCGUCCCAUUAGCUAGUUGGUGAGGUAACGGCUCACCAAGGCGACGAUGGGUAGGGGAACUGAGAGGUUGAGCCCCCACACUGGUACUGAGACACGGACCAGACUCCUACGGGAGGCAGCAGUGAGGAAUAUUGGUCAAUGGGCGAGAGCCUGAACCAGCCAAGUCGCGUGAAGGAUGACUGUCUUAUGGAUUGUAAACUUCUUUUAUACGGGAAUAACAAGAGCCACGUGUGGCUCCCUGCAUGUACCGUAUGAAUAAGCAUCGGCUAACUCCGUG